ACAUGAACCAAUAUCAGAGAAAAGAAAACAGAAUGUUUGUACUUGAUACUUCCUGAAAGAUAAUCAAUGAUCAAUAUUGUUGUAAUGUAACCAAUGAAAGGAAAUGAACAUAUGUGCAACCCCUCAAACAAACCAGUCAACACAAUACUUUAAAUCCUCUUUAUCUGAGCUCACACAGUACAAACAAUGAGGUGACAUCUGUGCGUCAUCCUUGAGGACAGAAAUGCCAAGAAACGCGAGGAAUGUGUCGUCACCUGUUGCUGCUGUAGCCGCUGCUCCAGCCUGCCGUCAGAGGAAGAAGAAAGAGUGAAGACGAAACCAGAGGUUACCCGAUGUGCUCGGCGUGGACAUGUGGAGUUGAUCACGGUGGCUGAAGCUGAUGUUUUCUUGGGACUGUCGACAGGUUGACAGACCAGGCGCUGCACUGACAUCGAACCUCACUUCA
Molecule: long non-coding RNA, 445 nt
Organism: Cyclopterus lumpus (lumpfish)
Lineage: Eukaryota; Metazoa; Chordata; Actinopteri; Perciformes; Cyclopteridae
Exons: 3
Source: RefSeq, a predicted model, not a curated record